AUGCAGGAUCUUCUCAACAAGUCGUACAUCUUUCGCCGCGAGGUGCUGAAAGAUAUGUUCGACAAACUAAUGGAGCAUCGGGCCCUGAAUCUACCCGAACCUCAAAGACCCGACCAGGUAAAUAUGGAUGACAAUCCUUUGUAUUGCCCAUAUCACAGGUACGUAGGCCACGCAAUUGAGGAUCGCAUCGCCUUCAAGGAAUGGCUCCAACGAGCCAUUAAUGAGAAAAGGGUCACCCAAGACCCAGAAGCCAUCAAUCCAGACUACCAGACCGUGGACAUGGUGAGCGUGGAAUCAUUGACCUCGUCGGGACAAGGCCAAGCAGGCGAGCCAUCACGGGUUCCGAUCUCUUAG
This 354-nucleotide ribosomal RNA is filed under the name Triticum aestivum (bread wheat). RNAcentral describes it as "partial small subunit ribosomal RNA". The record is from RNAcentral. Lineage: Eukaryota; Viridiplantae; Streptophyta; Magnoliopsida; Poales; Poaceae.